Molecule: ribosomal RNA, 450 nt
Filed under: uncultured bacterium
Lineage: Bacteria
Description: bacterial SSU rRNA
Rfam family: Bacterial small subunit ribosomal RNA
Source: RNAcentral
GGCCGCGGGAAUUCGAUUCAGGCCUAACACAUGCAAGUCGAGCGGGAACUUCGGUUCUAGCGGCGGACGGGUGAGUAAUGUAUAGGGAGCUGCCCGACAGAGGGGGAUACCAGUUGGAAACGACUGUUAAUACCGCAUAACGUCUACGGACCAAAGUAUGGGACCUUCGGGCCAUAUGCUGUCGGAUGCACCUAUAUGGGAUUAGCUAGUUGGUGGGGUAACGGCUCACCAAGGCGACGAUCCCUAGCUGGUUUGAGAGGAUGAUCAGCCACACUGGAACUGAGACACGGUCCAGACUCCUACGGGAGGCAGCAGUGGGGAAUAUUGGACAAUGGGCGCAAGCCUGAUCCAGCCAUGCCGCGUGUGUGAAGAAGGCCUUCGGGUUGUAAAGCACUUUCAGCGAGGAGGAAGGGGUGUGUGUUAAUAGCACAUAUCUUGACGUACUCGCAG